UGCUACANUGCAGUCGAACGGUGAAGCCAAGCUUGCUUGGUGGAUCAGUGGCGAACGGGUGAGUAACACGUGAGCAACCUGCCCUGGACUCUGGGAUAAGCGCUGGAAACGGUGUCUAAUACUGGAUAUGAGCUCUCAUCGCAUGGUGGGGGUUGGAAAGAUUUUUCGGUCUGGGAUGGGCUCGCGGCCUAUCAGCUUGUUGGUGAGGUAAUGGCUUACCAAGGCGUCGACGGGUAGCCGGCCUGAGAGGGUGACCGGCCACACUGGGACUGAGACACGGCCCAGACUCCUACGGGAGGCAGCAGUGGGGAAUAUUGCACAAUGGGCGGAAGCCUGAUGCAGCAACGCCGCGUGAGGGAUGACGGCCUUCGGGUUGUAAACCUCUUUUAGCAGGGAAGAAGCGAGAGUGACGGUACCUGCAGAAAAAGCGCCGGCUAACUACGUGCCAGCAGCCGCGGUAAUACGUAGGGCGCAAGCGUUAUCCGGAAUUAUUGGGCGUAAAGAGCUCGUAGGCGGUUUGUCGCGUCUGCUGUGAAAUCCCGAGGCUCAACCUCGGGCCUGCAGUGGGUACGGGCAGACUAGAGUGCGGUAGGGGAGAUUGGAAUUCCUGGUGUAGCGGUGGAAUGCGCAGAUAUCAGGAGGAACACCGAUGGCGAAGGCAGAUCUCUGGGCCGUAACUGACGCUGAGGAGCGAAAGGGUGGGGAGCAAACAGGCUUAGAUACCCUGGUAGUCCACCCCGUAAACGUUGGGAACUAGUUGUGGGGACCAUUCCACGGUUUCCGUGACGCAGCUAACGCAUUAAGUUCCCCGCCUGGGGAGUACGGCCGCAAGGCUAAAACUCAAAGGAAUUGACGGGGACCCGCACAAGCGGCGGAGCAUGCGGAUUAAUUCGAUGCAACGCGAAGAACCUUACCAAGGCUUGACAUACACCAGAA
This 936-nucleotide ribosomal RNA is filed under the name uncultured bacterium. RNAcentral describes it as "bacterial SSU rRNA". It matches the Rfam family "Bacterial small subunit ribosomal RNA", at positions 45 to 996 of the family's 1533-position model. The record is from RNAcentral.